GGAGAUUUAGUGCUAUGUUGCGACUAAUCUGGCUUGUUAUGAGUUUAUUUAUGACGGUGAAAUAUAUAUUGAUUUAUGCUUGCACCAAAAAUUCACACAUUGUUGGCGACCUUGAAAAAUGGCGCUAAUUGAACGCUAAUAAGAAGAAGCAGCAGCAGCGACAGUAUAUGAAAAGUGUGAGAGCGAGAUAGAUGUAAAGAGAGUGCGUUAUUUUUAUGAGAGAGCAUGCUAACCAAAUGUGCUGUUAUUUGUGAUGAUGUUAUGCGGAUGCCACCAACAGAGUUGGCUCAUUGGCUCAGAUUGGGUGUGAAUUAAGCGGCAGCAUUCAAUGGGAAACUGGAAAACCCGUUUGGUUAUGGUCAGUGAAAUGAAUGCUUGAAAGCAAAAAUUCAACACUCAAACGAGAUUAUCAUCGACAAUGGCCACAAGCGAACACACACACACACACACACAUACGUAUACAUGUAAGCUUCGUUGACUUACAAUGCUGCAUAAUUGGGUCAAGAGAAGCAACAGCAAGUGAAAUACAAGAAAACAACGCAGACUUUUUAUCGCUUGCAUUGCAUUAAUCAUUAAUCGUCGCAUUGCAGAAGUGAAAGCAGAGUUUGUCGCCUAAGUCUUUCGAUUGAGUAAGUGUAAGUUUGCUAUGCUUGUAUACUAACCGCCAAGUAUU
Molecule: long non-coding RNA, 673 nt
Organism: Drosophila albomicans
Lineage: Eukaryota; Metazoa; Arthropoda; Insecta; Diptera; Drosophilidae
Exons: 3
Source: RefSeq, a predicted model, not a curated record